RNAcentral lists this transfer RNA (73 nucleotides) under Mustela putorius furo (domestic ferret). It matches the Rfam family "tRNA". Rfam says of the family: Transfer RNA (tRNA) molecules are approximately 80 nucleotides in length. Their secondary structure includes four short double-helical elements and three loops (D, anti-codon, and T loops). Further hydrogen bonds mediate the characteristic L-shaped molecular structure. tRNAs have two regions of fundamental functional importance: the anti-codon, which is responsible for specific mRNA codon recognition, and the 3' end, to which the tRNAs corresponding amino acid is attached (by aminoacyl-tRNA synthetases). tRNAs cope with the degeneracy of the genetic code in two manners: having more than one tRNA (with a specific anti-codon) for a particular amino acid; and 'wobble' base-pairing, i.e. permitting non-standard base-pairing at the 3rd anti-codon position. Lineage: Eukaryota; Metazoa; Chordata; Mammalia; Carnivora; Mustelidae. The record is from Rfam by way of RNAcentral. RNAcentral also lists the same sequence under 1 other name.
ACCUAGUUGGUUUAGUCUGUAGAGCAUACGACUCCCAAUCUUGGGGAUGUGGGUUCCAGCCCCACAUUGGGGG